GGGCUGAACAGCUGCAUUCGAGGCUGGUGGAGGGUGGGCUGGGCAUGGGAUGCACAAAUGGAAAUUCCACUGGGUCUGCAGCUCACACAUAGGCAUGACCAGCAUAGAGAUAGAGAGGCCCCAGUGCUGCUGAGUAACUGUGAUUCCCCAGGUGAUGGCAUCAGCUGAGAAGGGAAGGAAGCCCAUGAGAGGACACUGAAGAAGGAGUGAGCAGACAAUAAGAAGCCCACAGAAGACAGAGAAGGAACAACUAGAGGGAGAAGCCAAGGCAGACACUACCCAAAGCAGUGCUUCACUACAGUGGCAGACAGACCUGAAAAUUUUCAUCUGAAGCAGCAGAGUGAACUGCAGAGGCAGAGAUAGAAUCUCACUAUGUUGACCAGGCUGGUCUUGAACUCUUGGCACCCAAGCGAUCCUUUUGCCUGGAAUCCCAAAGUGUCAGAUUUACUGAAGAAUAUUUCAUUGUAAUUACUUUUUAUACUUUAUAGGUCAAGAGCUCUGUUUUAAAUACAAAAUUUAUUGAAUAUACUUUUUCAAAC
Molecule: long non-coding RNA, 539 nt
Organism: Homo sapiens (human)
Lineage: Eukaryota; Metazoa; Chordata; Mammalia; Primates; Hominidae
Gene: APPAT
Product: atherosclerotic plaque pathogenesis associated transcript
Source: Ensembl